GCCGGGUGCAGUGGCGCGCGCCUGUAAUCCACGUUACCGGGAGGCUGAGGCUGGAGGAUCGUUUGAGCUCAGGAGCUCUGAGCUGCAGCGGACUAUGUCGAUCGGGUGUCCGCACUAAGUUCGGUAUCGAUAUGGUGCUCCUGGGGGAGCCCGGGACCACCAGGUCGUCUAAGGAGGGGUGCACCGGCCCAGGUCGGACACGGAGCAGGUCAAAGCCCCCGUGCCGCUCAGUAGUGGGAUCGCGCCUGUGAAUAGACGCUGUAGUGCAGCCUGAGUAACACAGCGGGACCCAGUCUUUU
Molecule: unclassified non-coding RNA, 299 nt
Organism: Larimichthys crocea (large yellow croaker)
Lineage: Eukaryota; Metazoa; Chordata; Actinopteri; Sciaenidae
Rfam family: Metazoan signal recognition particle RNA
About the family: The signal recognition particle (SRP) is a universally conserved ribonucleoprotein. It is involved in the co-translational targeting of proteins to membranes.
Source: Ensembl